RNAcentral lists this ribosomal RNA (484 nucleotides) under uncultured bacterium. RNAcentral's name for it is "partial 16S ribosomal RNA". It matches the Rfam family "Bacterial small subunit ribosomal RNA", at positions 28 to 523 of the family's 1533-position model. The record is from RNAcentral.
GACGAACGCUGGCGGCGUGCUUAACACAUGCAAGUCGAACGAUGAAGCCGGAGCUUGCUCUGGUGGAUUAGUGGCGAACGGGUGAGUAACACGUGAGUAACCUGCCCUUGACUCUGGGAUAAGCGUUGGAAACGACUUCUAAUACCGGAUACGAGCUAGGACCGCAUGGUCACUAGCUGGAACGAACUUCGGUCAAGGAUGGACUCGCGGCCUAUCAGUUAGUUGGGGAGGUAACGGCUCACCAAUACGACGACGGGUAGCCGGCCGGAGAGGGUGACCGGCCACACUGGGAAUGAGACACGGACCAGACUCCUACGGGAGGCAGCAGUGGGGAAUAUUGCACAAUGGGCGCAAGCCUGAUGCAGCAACGCCGCGUGAGGGACGACGGCCUUCGGGUUGUAAACCUCUUUUAGCAGGGAAGAAGCGCAAGUGACGGUACCUGCAGAAAAAGCACCGGCUAACUACGUGCCAGCAGCCGCCGUAA